This 506-nucleotide ribosomal RNA is filed under the name uncultured Oscillospiraceae bacterium. Its description in RNAcentral is "bacterial SSU rRNA". It matches the Rfam family "Bacterial small subunit ribosomal RNA", at positions 1 to 507 of the family's 1533-position model. The record is from RNAcentral. Lineage: Bacteria; Bacillati; Bacillota; Clostridia; Eubacteriales; Oscillospiraceae.
UAGAGUUUGAUCUCGGCUACGAGACGACGCUGGCGGCGUGCCUAAUACAUGCAAGUCAACGGAGAUAUUCGCUGAUGAAGUACUUCGGUAAUGAAUCUUGGAUAUCUUAGUGGCGGACGGGUGAGUAACGCGUGAGCAACCUGCCUUUCAGAGGGGGAUAACGUUUGGAAACGAAACGCUAAUACCGCAUGACAUUAUCUUAUCGCAUGGUAGGAUAAUCAAAGGAGCAAUCCGCUGAAAGAUGGGCUCGCGUCCGAUUAGGUAGUUGGUGGGGUAACGGCCCACCAAGCCGACGAUCGGUAGCCGGACUGAGAGGUUGGACGGCCACAUUGGGACUGAGACACGGCCCAGACUCCUACGGGAGGCAGCAGUAAGGGAUAUUGGCCAAUGGGGGAAACCCUGAACCAGCAACGCCGCGUGAGGGAAGACGGUUUUCGGAUUGUAAACCUCUGUCCUCUGUGAAGAUGAUGACGGUAGCAGAGGAGGAAGCUCCGGCUAACUACGUG